AAUGAACGUUGGCGGCGUGGAUUAGGCAUGCAAGUCGAGCGAGAAGGCCUCCCACCCUUGCCCUCCCUUUUGUGGGGAGGGUGGGGUGGGGGCCGGACAGCGGCGAACGGGAGAGUAACGCGUGGAGUACCUACCCUUGGAUCUGGGAUAGCCGCGGGAAACUGCGGGUAAUACCGGAUAACGUCUCCGGACCAAAGGUGUGAUUCCGUCUGAGGAUGGCUCCGCGUCCUAUUAGCUUGUUGGUGGGGUAACGGCCUACCAAGGCAACGAUGGGUACCGGGUGUGAGAGCAUGACCCGGCUCACUGGGACUGAGACACUGCCCAGACACCUACGGGUGGCAG
Molecule: ribosomal RNA, 342 nt
Filed under: uncultured Planctomycetota bacterium
Lineage: Bacteria; Pseudomonadati; Planctomycetota
Description: bacterial SSU rRNA
Rfam family: Bacterial small subunit ribosomal RNA
Source: RNAcentral